AGCGGGAUAGAGCAGAGGUAGCUCGCCGGGCUCAUUACCCGGAGGUCGCAGGUUCGAAUCCAGCUCCCGCUACUA
This 75-nucleotide transfer RNA is filed under the name Chitinophaga sp. CF418. RNAcentral's name for it is "tRNA_Met_CAT". It matches the Rfam family "tRNA". Rfam says of the family: Transfer RNA (tRNA) molecules are approximately 80 nucleotides in length. Lineage: Bacteria; Pseudomonadati; Bacteroidota; Chitinophagia; Chitinophagales; Chitinophagaceae. The record is from RNAcentral.